AAAACAGGUAUCGUUAACAUUAUAUUAUAUUUUAAAAAAAUGAUACCCGUGGUAACGUGCCUGGAAAUCAAACCCACCGUGACAUUGGUUAGCUGUAAAAUAUGGUUAUUUUCCCGAUACAAAUAUUAGGUUAAUUAACGAAAACGCCCGAAAAUAUUUUCAAAGAUUAAUGAGUGCCAGGUCAAUACUUACGGACAUAUUAAGAAAAUAAAUACAAUCGUCUAACAUAGACUUCAUCAAAAUGCUAUAUAAGUUUGCACUCAUUCAUCGAUCUCUUCGUAAAUAAAUUGUACAUAUAGGUUCUGCGGCACAGUUUUACUGCAACAUUAAUUGAUACUAAUUGUAUGCAUAUUAAUUAAUUUUAUGGGAUAAUCGGCAUGGCCUAAUUUAACCCUCUGCCAUUUAAUGGAAUCGGCCAAUCAGCGCGCAUUCAUCUAGCCCGAGGCGAUAACAUCUGGUUGAAGUGACCGCACGCACUAAUCUGUAUAUUGCAAAAAUGUCUUGUCAUUAGCGUUAUUCUGCAGAGGAAGACGAAGGCUCGGGUUGACACAAGAGAUUUUUCAAUUAACUCCAACUGGACGACGAUUUGUUUUCAAGAUAGAGAAUACGCUUAUGUGAGAAGUUUGGUCAGUAGAUGCUGACAGACAGCCCGGAUGAGCCAUCGUACUCAGUGACAUUCGUACCUCAACAGACAAAAGCUUACAUUUAUUGAGAUCAUGAAACUGAAGAUUUCCAUGGGGUGCAUCAUUUGUAACCUGCUUACAUAUUGAAUUCCAACACAGAAUGCAUCAUGCAUCUUUUCAAAGCGCUAAAUUUGAAUACAUCUUCAGACAUUAGAAAGGAUGUACUGCUCUUUUAGCAGACGGCAAAUCGAAAAGCCUAUAGUGGGAAUCAACAUUCACUGGAAUAACGAAACAAUUGUAAACAGUAAUAAAGAAGUGUUACUAUACUGAUUUGUUGCGUUAACGGUGUUUUUUUUUUCAAUUAGAAACGAACAUCUAAAAAUGCAUAAUGUUAUUGAUUGCUAUAAGAUUCUUUCACUGGUUGUAAGUGCAGAUGGGAAUUUCCGGCUUCGAGGGUAACUAUUUAGCCAAGAGCCGGAUAUUCACAUCUGCACCUAUAACCAGUGACAGAAUAUUUUUCUUGCAUACCGACAUGAAGAAAUAAUAAUAAUAAUAAUAAAAUCAAUCGAACUUCUUUAUAGAACUAUUUCUUAUAGCAGCGUAAUUAAACAAAGCGCGGGAAAGCAACGUCCGUAAACAGGAAAGAUGUCAUGACGUUUCAUAGACAAAUAACAAUGUUUAGUUCCGAUUUUGUUUUAUCAGUUGCAGCGUAACGUUAUGAAUUUUUGAUAAAAUAACGUCCUUUGAAUCGAGAAAUAUAUUAUCAGGAACCAAGAGGAACUGUCAAGGUAUUGGAUUUUUAUUUCGUUUUUGAAAGAAAAUAUAACUACAUGAAUCAUCUCCAUAUAUGUAGUUCGUAAUACGUCAUUUAAAGCACGAGAGUCAUCUUACACCCCGGAUGGAUUUUUCCAGCACCGGUAAAAAUACCGGAAAUCCCCGUCUGGUAUGCAAGAAUUACAUUUUCUGCUUAUUUCAUUUGGACAAAAAAUAAAAAUAACGCAUAAUCGUACGAGAAAAAAACAACUUUUUUUUUUUUUUUUUUUUUUUUUUAAAAGUAUUUAUGUUAUAUAUAAUGUAAAUUUAAUCUGACUUGUCUCCAUUGAUGAUAAUGUUUUUCUCAUA
Molecule: long non-coding RNA, 1745 nt
Organism: Mercenaria mercenaria
Lineage: Eukaryota; Metazoa; Mollusca; Bivalvia; Venerida; Veneridae
Exons: 2
Source: RefSeq, a predicted model, not a curated record